This 83-nucleotide microRNA precursor is filed under the name Medicago truncatula (barrel medic). RNAcentral's name for it is "MIR5269 microRNA precursor family". It matches the Rfam family "MIR5269 microRNA precursor family". The record is from Rfam by way of RNAcentral. Lineage: Eukaryota; Viridiplantae; Streptophyta; Magnoliopsida; Fabales; Fabaceae.
UUGUGUUAAAUCAAUGUGUGAGUCCUAUAUUUUAGAAAAUAAAACUCAUAUAAAGUGGUGGAAUAUACAUUGAUUUCAUUCAA